AGUGAACGCUGGCGGUAGGCCUAACACAUGCAAGUCGAACGGCGGCACAGUAAGAGCUUGCUCUUACGGGUGGCGAGUGGCGGACGGGUGAGGAAUACAUCGGAAUCUACUUUUUCGUGGGGGAUAACGUAGGGAAACUUACGCUAAUACCGCAUACGACCUACGGGUGAAAGCAGGGGAUCUUCGGACCUUGCGCGAUUGAAUGAGCCGAUGUCGGAUUAGCUAGUUGGCGGGGUAAAGGCCCACCAAGGCGACGAUCCGUAGCUGGUCUGAGAGGAUGAUCAGCCACACUGGAACUGAGACACGGUCCAGACUCCUACGGGAGGCAGCAGUGGGGAAUAUUGGACAAUGGGCGCAAGCCUGAUCCAGCCAUACCGCGUGGGUGAAGAAGGCCUUCGGGUUGUAAAGCCCCUUUGUUGGGAAAGAAAAGCAGCAGGUUAAUACCCCGCUGUUCUGACGGUACCCAAAGAAUAAGCACCGGCUAACUUCGUG
Molecule: ribosomal RNA, 492 nt
Filed under: uncultured bacterium
Lineage: Bacteria
Description: partial 16S ribosomal RNA
Rfam family: Bacterial small subunit ribosomal RNA
Source: RNAcentral